This 23-nucleotide small nuclear RNA is filed under the name Arabidopsis thaliana (thale cress). RNAcentral describes it as "snRNA_16336". Lineage: Eukaryota; Viridiplantae; Streptophyta; Magnoliopsida; Brassicales; Brassicaceae. The record is from RNAcentral.
CGGUUUGACCCAAUAGUUUUCCU